This 307-nucleotide long non-coding RNA is filed under the name Carassius auratus (goldfish). RNAcentral's name for it is "lncRNA (ENSCARG00000068627.1)". The record is from RNAcentral. Lineage: Eukaryota; Metazoa; Chordata; Actinopteri; Cypriniformes; Cyprinidae.
AAACUGUUUUUUUUUUUUUUUUUUUUUUUUUUUCUGAUAGGAUGCCUUAGAAUCAACGUUGAAAGGUCAGUUUGAAAAGUUAAAGUAAAUUAGAAAUGUAAAUAUAUCAGAUAUUAGAUUUAGAAAAUUUUUAAUGCAUUCCUAAAUCAACAGAUCCUCGAAUAACGAGACAGAGCUCAGAGGAACAGAAAUUUACUACGAAGAAGUUCACAAUCCUCACACAUCUGAUACUGGUGACACACAACAUGUUGUCUGGAGUGCCUCAGAGUUUGCUGAUUCCUCUGAAAGUGGUAGGUCUGCACUGAAU